AUUAUUUUAUUCCGCUUCUUAAGCUGGGGUCACACAUUCACGAUUUUUACUGCCGUCCUUGACAGGACCAUUCCCGAUUAAAAUUUGUCAAAAGUCUGAUCAAGAUCCUGUGAAUCGUGGAUGGAAAUUCGAUUUGUAUCUUUCGCCAGGUAAAAUUCGACCGAGUCUGUCACGACUGCGUCCCGAUUCUACCGAAUGUAAUCCGACAGAGAUCAGAUAGUGACAAGACAGUGAACCGACGGUGACGGAAGUUAUCCGUUCGAAAACUGUCGGCAUAAUCGGGAUGAUCAGGUACUGUCGGAACGUAAUCCUAUCACGGUCCGCUCUAUCGCAUUGCAAACGGCUUUGUCUGGUCUCAGUCGUAUUGUAUUCUGUUAUUGUCGGGACUUCUCCAGAUCAUUCCCGUUCCACAGGACACCGUCCCGAAUACACAGAACAUUGUUAGGAAUUCGAUCCGAUACAGCAGAAUCUGUCACGACAUAGGCACGAUUGUAAUCCGACUAGACAAAAUCGGCUGAGUUUCCCCGAAUGUUACGGGACGCACCUAACUGUCGGGGUGCUUUGCCGAACUAUUCGGACCCUUCCCGACCAGUAGGAAUCUGUUACGAACUAAAACGACUGCGUUCAGACAAUAAUAGGACAUUCCAGAUAAUUGAGGAUACUAAUCCGACUUUUUCACUUUUCGUGUCGUAUCGCUGUCUGAUCUCAAACGGGAGCAAUAAUCGGCAAUGUGUGAACCCCGCAUUAAU
RNAcentral lists this long non-coding RNA (749 nucleotides) under Mytilus galloprovincialis (Mediterranean mussel). The record is from RNAcentral. Lineage: Eukaryota; Metazoa; Mollusca; Bivalvia; Mytilida; Mytilidae.